UUCCAUUUGAUAAGGCUAUCAUCAUAUCAUUAGUUUUGUUGUCGAUCGCUUUAUCAAUCAAUUACACACGUAAAUUAACACAAGACAUGCCCAAGCUUUGUUCGAUAUGUAUGAUGGAGUAUUCUCUGUGGUCAGUUAAUUAUGAAAUGAAAAUAGGCAUUAAAGUAGUCCAGUCCAGUCCAGUCCAGAUUACACUGUUCAAG
Molecule: long non-coding RNA, 203 nt
Filed under: Panax ginseng (ginseng)
Lineage: Eukaryota; Viridiplantae; Streptophyta; Magnoliopsida; Apiales; Araliaceae
Description: long non-coding RNA (PGIN_LNC000882)
Source: RNAcentral